GCUAUUGGUGGUACAGCGGCAAGCAUAGCUGCCUUCUAAGCAGUUGACCCGGGUUUGAUUCCCAGCCAACGCA
Non-coding RNA from Megalops atlanticus (tarpon), 73 nucleotides. The record is from the annotation of a GenBank genome assembly. NCBI's taxonomy places the organism in Eukaryota, Metazoa, Chordata, Actinopteri, Elopiformes, Megalopidae.